ACGUAGGGUGCAAGCGUUAUCCGGAAUUAUUGGGCGUAAAGGGCUCGUAGGCGGUUCGUCGCGUCCGGUGUGAAAGUCCAUCGCUUAACGGUGGAUCCGCGCCGGGUACGGGCGGGCUUGAGUGCGGUAGGGGAGACUGGAAUUCCCGGUGUAACGGUGGAAUGUGUAGAUAUCGGGAAGAACACCAAUGGCGAAGGCAGGUCUCUGGGCCGUCACUGACGCUGAGGAGCGAAAGCGUGGGGAGCGAACAG
This 251-nucleotide ribosomal RNA is filed under the name uncultured bacterium. RNAcentral's name for it is "partial 16S ribosomal RNA". It matches the Rfam family "Bacterial small subunit ribosomal RNA", at positions 525 to 775 of the family's 1533-position model. RNAcentral also lists the same sequence under 1 other name. The record is from RNAcentral.